CACGGGGGGAGCAAGCGUUGUUCGGAAUCACUGGGCGUAAAGGGCGUGUAGGCGGUCAGGUAAGUGGGACGUGAAAUCCCUCGGCUCACCCGAGGACCUGCGUCCCAUACUGCUUGGCUUGAGUAUGGGAGAGGAUGAGGGAAUUCCUGGUGUAGCGGUGAAAUGCGCAGAUAUCAGGAGGAACACCAAUGGCGAAGGCAGCUCGCUGGGACGGUACUGACGCUGAGGCGCGAAAGCGUGGGGAGCAAACAGG
This 253-nucleotide ribosomal RNA is filed under the name uncultured bacterium. Its description in RNAcentral is "partial 16S ribosomal RNA". It matches the Rfam family "Bacterial small subunit ribosomal RNA", at positions 524 to 776 of the family's 1533-position model. The record is from RNAcentral.